AUUUACGUAGGUGCACAGAAUAAUCAACAAGUUUAAUUUGUAUCAAUGUAGCAAUAUAAUAUUGGUAAGAGAAAAGAAAGAUAAACUUAUCAACAAUGUAGCUGUGAUAAACAAGAUAUAUCUAUAUCAAGUGCAGUAUGCUUAGGAGAAUUUUGCAAUUAAAAUAAAAAUACUUCCUGUCCAGGACUGUUGUAGCUUUGCUUCUUUUUCAAACAGAGCUGUUCACGUCAUACCAAGGCAUAAUUCACUCUGAGACACUCAUCUUGAAAGAAACGUGAGUGUAGAAAGUAUCAGACAACCAACCAAUUGAAUAGUAUUCUGGACAGAUUUCAACCCAGGAGAUUUGUUACGAAAGUUUAUUUGUGGAGCAUGAGAACUGGAGUCCAGAGAAUCCUUUGGCUCUGGCAGCCUAGAGAAGAGAUUUUAAGGAGAACUGAUCAGGGAAAAGUACCUAAUAUAUUCUGUCAAGUCAUAGCUGACAUCGGAGAGUGAAGGCUGUUCCAGUUCAUCUCCCUGUCCUCAUUCAAGAGGAAAGGCUGUCUGAGAGGCUGGAAAUCCUGAGGAGUUUGAUCAUUCCAUGAUCUCCUAAUCACUGCAUUGCUCUUGCUUCCCAAUGCUGGUUCAAACGGGUCUUGAAAAUCAACUGUGGAGAGUCAGAUUUCCAUUCCUCUGCACCCAUGUGGAAUUCAAAUUAAAAAGACAAGAGAUUGAGGAGGAGAGAAAGAAAGAAAGAAACAAAGAAGAGGGGGAAAAAAGAAAGAAAAAACAAAGGGGUAUCCAUAAAGAUGUUCAGUCUUGUGACAGACUGGAAAAACAGGUAUUUGAAGAUGGCAGAGGCAUGAUAAAGCAACUUUUCUGGGUAUUUUCUUUUAUCUACACUAGGUACUACUUUUUAAAUAAUCAGCUGAGGCUUUUUGUGUUGCUGUUUAAAUUUCUGGUUGCCUGAAGUGCCUCCGAAUUCAGCAGUUGCUAUAGGAGCAAUGUUUAAAGGAUAU
RNAcentral lists this long non-coding RNA (995 nucleotides) under Numida meleagris (helmeted guineafowl). RNAcentral describes it as "lncRNA (ENSNMEG00000018692.1)". The record is from RNAcentral. Lineage: Eukaryota; Metazoa; Chordata; Aves; Galliformes; Numididae.